RNAcentral lists this transfer RNA (69 nucleotides) under Loxosomella aloxiata. Its description in RNAcentral is "tRNA-Gln". It matches the Rfam family "tRNA". From Rfam's summary of the family: Transfer RNA (tRNA) molecules are approximately 80 nucleotides in length. Their secondary structure includes four short double-helical elements and three loops (D, anti-codon, and T loops). Further hydrogen bonds mediate the characteristic L-shaped molecular structure. tRNAs have two regions of fundamental functional importance: the anti-codon, which is responsible for specific mRNA codon recognition, and the 3' end, to which the tRNAs corresponding amino acid is attached (by aminoacyl-tRNA synthetases). tRNAs cope with the degeneracy of the genetic code in two manners: having more than one tRNA (with a specific anti-codon) for a particular amino acid; and 'wobble' base-pairing, i.e. permitting non-standard base-pairing at the 3rd anti-codon position. Lineage: Eukaryota; Metazoa; Entoprocta; Loxosomatidae. The record is from RNAcentral.
UAUAAGUUAGUGUAUGGUGCACCAAGAAUUUUGAUUUCUUUAGAAAAGGUUUAAAUCCUUUACUUAUAA